UACGGGGGGAGCAAGCGUUGUUCGGAUUUACUGGGCGUAAAGGGCGCGUAGGCGGUCGUGACAAGUCACUUGUGAAAUCUCCGGGCUUAACUCGGAACGGUCAAGUGAUACUGUCGGACUAGAGUACAGAAGGGGCAACUGGAAUUCUCGGUGUAGCGGUGAAAUGCGUAGAUAUCGAGAGGAACACCUGCGGCGAAGGCGGGUUGCUGGGCUGAUACUGACGCUGAGGCGCGAAAGCCAGGGGAGCGUACGGG
RNAcentral lists this ribosomal RNA (254 nucleotides) under uncultured bacterium. RNAcentral describes it as "partial 16S ribosomal RNA". It matches the Rfam family "Bacterial small subunit ribosomal RNA", at positions 524 to 776 of the family's 1533-position model. The record is from RNAcentral.